GUGCUUGCUUAGGCAGCACAUAUACUAAAAUUGGAACUAUACAGAGAAGAUUAGCAUGGCCCCUGCACAAGGAUGACAUGUAAAUUCAUGAAGCGUUCCUGCCACGG
This 107-nucleotide small nuclear RNA is filed under the name Meriones unguiculatus (Mongolian gerbil). Lineage: Eukaryota; Metazoa; Chordata; Mammalia; Rodentia; Muridae. The record is from RNAcentral.